UGGCUGAUUAAAUCACCUUUAUUAAAAGAUACAAGAUGCUGGAAUACCAACACUUUAGAAUGCAGAAGUACUUUACACACAGGCCCAGGCUUGUGUCCAAUAUGGCCCCUUAUUCACUAUAUAGUGCACUACUUUACACACAGGCCCAGGCUUGUGUCCAAUAUGGCCCCUUAUUCACUAUAUAGUGCACUACUUUACACACAGGGCCAGGCUUGUGUCCAAUAUGGCCCCUUAUUCACUAUAUAGUGCACUACUUUACACACAGGGCCAGGCUUGUGUCCAAUAUGGCCCCUUAUUCACUAUAUAGUGCACUACUUUACACACAGGCCCAGGCUUGUGUCCAAUAUGGCCCCUUAUUCACUAUAUAGUGCACUACUUCACACACAGGCCCAGGCUUGUGCCCAACCAAACUCACAUAGAGGCUGUAUCCAAUAUGGCCCCUUAUUCACCAUGUAGUGCACUACUUUAGACCAGAGCCCUAUUCCCUAUAUAGGGCACUACUUUAGACCAGAGCCCUAUUCCAUAUAUAGUGCACUACUUUAGACCAGAGCCCUAUUCCCUAUAUAGUGCACUACUUUAGACCAGAGCCUUAUUCCAUAUAUAGUGCACUACUUUAGACCAGAGCCCUAUUCCCUAGAUAGUGCACUACCUUUAACUACAGCAUUAUUCCAUAUAUAGUGCACUACUUUAGACCAGAGCCCUAUUCCCUAUAUAGUGCACAACAUUAUACUACAGCCCUAUUCCCUAUAUAGUGCACUACUUUAUACUACAGCCCUAUUCCCUAUAUAGUGCACUACUUUUAACCAGAGCCCUGAAUAGACCAGACACCUAAUCAUCUAUAUACAUCUUAAUCUAGCAUUGUGUUUCUCCUAUUAAUCACCCUGUGAAUGACUCUCUAUGGGUCCAGGUUAACACACUAUAAAGGGGAACAGAAUGACUCUCUAUGGGUCCAGGUUAACACACUAUAAAGGGGAACAGAAUGACUCUCUAUGGGUCCAGGUUAACACUCUAUAAAGGGGAACAGAAUGACUCUCUAUGGGUCCAGGUUAACACUCUAUAAAGGGAACAGAAUGACUCUCUAUGGGUCCAGGUUAACACUCUAUAAGGGGAACAGAAUGACUCUCUAUGGGUCCAGGUUAACACACUAUAAAGGGGAACAGAAUGACUCUCUAUGGGUCCAGGUUAACACACUAUAAAGGGGAACAGAAUGACUCUAUGGGUCCAGGUUAACACUCUAUAAAGGGGAAUAGAAUUACUCUCUAUGGGUCCAGGUUAACACUAUAUAAAGGGGAACAGAAUGACUCUCUAUGGGUCCAGGUUAACACUCUAUAAAGGGAACAGAAUGACUCUCUAUGGGUCCAGGUUAACACUCUAUAAGGGGAACAGAAUGACUCUCUAUGGGUCGAGGUUAACACUCUAUAAGGGGAACAGAAUGACUCUCUAUGGGUCCAGGUUAACACACUAUAAAGGGAACAGAAUGACUCUAUGGGUCCAGGUUAACACUCUAUAAGGGGAACAGAAUGACUCUCUAUGGGUCCAGGUUAACACAUUAUAAAGUGAAUAAGAGUCCAUUUGGAACACAGCUACAGUAGUAAUAACAAAGGUAUUUUUUGAUCAAAAUCCCUGUAAAUAUCUGCGGUAUCCUUGCCAACCCAUUUCAAUCUGCAGGUUGGUUUUUUUCUUUUCAAAAUCACAACGUGACAGUAAACCAGUCUUUAAAGAAAAAAGAGAUCUGAAACCAUGCAACACUCAACAAGCCCACGUUACAGUUACUUCUGGGUUCGCCACCGUUUUGAAUGGCAUCAUCAAUAUCAUCAUCAUCAUCAUCAUCAUCAUCAUCAUCAAUAUCAUCAUCAUCAUCAUCAAUAUCAUGAUCAUCGUCAUCAAUAUCAUGAUCAUCAUCAUCAAUAUCAUCAUCAUCAAUAUCAUGAUCAUCAUCAUCAAUAUUAUCAUCAUCAAUAUCAUGAUCAUCAUCAAUAUCAUCAUCAUCAUCAUCAAUAUCAUGAUCAUUAUCAAUAUCAUGAUCAUCAUCAACAAUAUCAUGAUCAUCAUCAAUAUCAUCAUCAUCAAUAUCAUGAUCAUCAUCAAUAUCAUGAUCAUCAUCAUCAUCAUCAAUAUCAUCAUCAUCAUCAUCAAUAUCAUCAUCAUCAAUAUCAUGAUCAUCAUCAAUAUCAUGAUCAUCAUCAUCAUCAUCAAUAUCAUCAUCAUCAUCAUCAAUAUCAUCAUCAUCAACACUUACAACACCAUAAGACUUCACACAACAGUGACAAGGACGUUUUGACGUUUUUUUUUUUGGGGGAGACAGAAUCGAUCAAAUCUCGAAGACCUCAUCCACUGAGUUUCCAUGACAGGACAAAACGGGUCACGUCGUAGAUAGAACGGGGUUCUCUUCUGUUUCAUUAGUUCGUUACCCGAGUCCAUCGCUGCCUUUAGGCCUCAUGCUUGGUGUUAAAGGGGGACAGUGACCCCGAGCAACAGAUAUACACUACACUUCAGCAAACUAACCACUGGCACCAAACACUAACCUGCUGCUCCCAGAUCAGUGUCUAACCUCCGUGUUGGCACCAAACACUAACCUGCAGCUCCCAGAUCAGUGUCUAACCUCCGUGUUGGCACCAAACACUAACCUGCUGCUCCCAGAUCAGUGUCUAACCUCCGUGUUGGCACCAAACACUAACCUGCAGCUCCCAGAUCAGUGUCUAACCUGCUGCUCCCAGAUCAGUGUCUAACCUGCUGCUCCCAGAUCAGUGUCUAACCUGCUGCUCCCAGAUCAGUGUCUAACCUGCUGCUCCCAGAUCAGUGUCUAACCUGCUGCUCCCAGAUCAGUGUCUAACCUCCUGCUCCCAGAUCAGUGUCUAACCUGCUGCUCCCAGAUCAGUGUCUAACCUGCUGCUCCCAGGUCAGUGUCUAACCUGCUGCUCCCAGAUCAGUGUCUAACCUGCUGCUCCCAGAUCAGUGUCUAACCUG
Oncorhynchus tshawytscha (Chinook salmon) is the source of this 2967-nucleotide long non-coding RNA. NCBI's taxonomy places the organism in Eukaryota, Metazoa, Chordata, Actinopteri, Salmoniformes, Salmonidae. The record is from Ensembl.